UCCUGGCUCAGGAUGAACGCUAGCGGCAGGCUUAAUACAUGCAAGUCAAGGGGGUAGCAAUACAACCGGCGCACGGGUGAGUAACACGUACACAACAUACCAUAUACUGAGGUAUAGCUUCGGGAAACUGAAGGUAAUCCCUCAUAGUAUUGUGAAAGGGCAUCUUUUUACAAUUAAAGUUUCGACGGUAUAUGAUUGGUGUGCGUUUGAUUAGUUAGUUGGUAGGGUAACGGCCUACCAAGGCAACGAUCAAUAGCUGGCGUGAGAGCGCGACCAGCCACACUGGAACUGAGACACGGUCCAGACUCCUACGGGAGGCAGCAGUAGGGAAUAUUGGACAAUGGGCGAAAGCCUGAUCCAGCCAUGCCGCGUGAUAGAUGAAGGCCCUCUGGGUUGUAAAUAUCUUUUAUCUGGGAAGAAACACUUCUAUUCUUAGAAGCUUGACGGUACCAGAGGAAUAAGCACCGGCUAACUCCGUG
RNAcentral lists this ribosomal RNA (479 nucleotides) under uncultured bacterium. Its description in RNAcentral is "bacterial SSU rRNA". It matches the Rfam family "Bacterial small subunit ribosomal RNA", at positions 17 to 507 of the family's 1533-position model. The record is from RNAcentral.